This 447-nucleotide ribosomal RNA is filed under the name uncultured bacterium. RNAcentral describes it as "partial 16S ribosomal RNA". It matches the Rfam family "Bacterial small subunit ribosomal RNA", at positions 338 to 795 of the family's 1533-position model. The record is from RNAcentral.
CCUACGGGUGGCUGCAGUCGAGAAUUUUUCUCAAUGGGCGCAAGCCUGAAGGAGCGACGCCGCGUGGAGGAUGAAGGUCUUCGGAUUGUAAACUCCUGUCAUUAGGGAACAAAGCUUCCGGUUAACUGCCGUGGAGUCUGAUAGUACCUGAAGAGGAAGAGACGGCUAACUCUGUGCCAGCAGCCGCGGUAAUACAGAGGUCUCAAGCGUUGUUCGGAUUCCUUGGGCGUAAAGGGUGCGUAGGUGGCAAAUCCCGGGGCUCAACCCCGGAACUGCACUCGAUACUGCCAUGCUCGAGUACUGGAGAGGAGACUGGAAUUUACGGUGUAGCAGUGAAAUGCGUAGAUAUCGUAAGGAAGACCAGUGGCGAAGGCGAGUCUCUGGACAGUUACUGGCACUGAGGCACGAAGGCCAGGGGAGCAAACGGGAUUAGAUACCCCUGUAGUC